GUCAAAAACAUAAACACACAAGAUGGCGGAAGAAGAAGAAAAACGUGUCUAAAAAUACCAUCCUUUAUCCGCUUCACCAAAUCUGUCGUAUUCAGUCGUACCAAGCUGUUGUGCUGCAAAGCCUUUGUGAGAUGAUGCAGCACCAUCAAGAUCAAGUCAAUCAAUACGAUGCUGAUGACAGGAAUCAUUCAUCACAGAUAAGGUGUAUAAUAAGAGUGACGUUGCUAUGCCAACAGAUGGUCUAGCUCAGUACAUGGACAAGGAUGAUUGUGCUUUGCAAAACCUAAAUCUUAGCAAUUGCUGUUUGGGAAACCGAGACAUGGAACCUCUGACAGACAGGCAUUGUUUUAAAGAUGUUCUCCAAACACUGGACCUUAGCUGUAAUUAUAUUGAGAACGAUGCUACUGAUCUUCUUAGCAGGUGUGUUAACAUUGAAGUGGAUUCCCAAUUUAGCACUUAAGUGGCUUUCCUUUCUCCUGGUAUGUCAUCUAAUUAGAGUGCUGAACAUUAAAAGGGCUUUCUAGUUCUAUAGCUACAGGCUGGUAAGCCAUAGCCAGACACUUGUCAAUCUCAGCGUCAGUGGCAACCCUGGCAUUGAUAGUGGUUUUCUCCAGUUAUUCCUGGAUGCCCAUAGGACAAGCUCAUCUGCAAUACAUCAAUCUAUGAGCCUAAAACAUUAAUUCACCAAUAUCAAACGAUAUUUUAGGGCUAUUGUGAAACCAUUCUACAGACAAUUUAAUGGAGUUAAACUUCUCAUUCUGCCCUUUAAAUCAAACUGACAAAUUGUGCAUUGCCAAGACAUGGAAAAAGGGUGCUGGAGGCGCCGAUGAAAGGGAGGCAAUGGUAUAAGACUGUUUGUGCAUCUUCAGGGCUGUAGCCACGAAUUUCUGAUUGGUCCGGUUUUUGAGGGUUUUAAGUUUUUCUUAUACUUUUUUAUUAUUUUUAUUAUUUUUAUUAUAUUUUUUUCCCGAAAGUUGGUCCGGUUGAAACCGGACCAACGUACCGUGCCGGUGGCUACGGCCCAGAUCUUGGGACUGCACAGCAAUAGGACAUUGAAUUAAAAGGCUGCAUGUUAAGUUUUAUGUUCAACAGUUACAUAGUGAUGCUGAAGGGGACAGGGACUGGAAAGGAGUUAAACAAAGGAAAGUUUUUGAAUAUUAAUUAGGGAGGGUAAUACAUGUAUCAAGUGUUCCAGCAUGGUUCCAUCAUCACAGGUUGUAAACAUUGCUAUAUUUUAAUUGUAUUUUUCUUAUCAAGCACAAUUUUCAUAAAGUAUUCAAGAGCAAGUAGUGUAAAGCUAAUUCCAAAUCAAGUCUACCAAAAUAUAGGAAUUUUUACAACCUAUGGUCCCACUUGUUGACCCUUUGAGCAUGUGCUUAGAGCAGUAGCACAGAACUCUUGAUGCGUAUAUAGCAAAAACAGUCUCCUCCGAGUCUUCCUCCCCUUCCUCCUUGAUUCCCACCCAAAGGCACCCCUUGGCAACCUAACAACAAUGUUAAAGAACAAAUCCUUGGAAGGCUUUUAUAGUUAAUAAUUGUUGAAAUAAUCCAUGGUUUACAUAGAAACUUGCUUGACUAUGAGGUUGUUCCUUAAUAAUAAUGAUGACGAUGAUAAUCAUAAUAAUUAUUAAUGAUAAAAAUUAACUUUGUUUAUAGAGUAUGACGCUUGACUGUAAUUCAACUGAUAAACAUGUGGUCAACUUUUAAUGUCUCUAGUUUAUAAGGGGUGGGACAGCCAUUCAUGUUGUCAUCCAAACCUUGUGAAAGUGUACCCAUUAGCAGAUGUAUCAAGAAUAAUGAUAAUAAUGAUUAGAAAUUAUAAAUAAGUUGGAAAGAUUAUUGUUAUCAAUGACAAAAGCUAUGAUGAUGAUAACUUUGAUAGAUAUAGAAAGCCAAAGUGGCAUGGGACGCAGAGUGGUUUAGCAUUCACCUCUCACCACAGUGGUCUGUGAUCAAGCACCGGCUCAGACUGGAUCAUACGUGAGUUGAGUUUGUUUGAUGUGUUGUCCUCUUCUGUGCUGCAAUAGUUUUUCGAUUUGUAUUAUUACACAGCUUAUCUUUGCAUGAUUUUACACAAGCAUAACCUUGCACUCGGUGUCUAAGGGUCCAUUCUUCCCAUUCAAGCACAAGAUUUAAGGUUUUGCUCUGUGUUUCACUCCGUUCAUUCCCAAGUCCAUCUCAUUCCAGAGGAAUUAUACAGGUAAACAAAGGCGAAGGAUUAAUAAAGUGUUGCAGUGUGUUCUUGGUUGAUUUGUUAAUAUGUUUAGUACAUUGUCUUAACUACAAGCUCAUUAUUUAAUAUUAUUGCCCUAACAUUCAACUUGGAUAAUGUUCUAUUAUUUCAGCAUAUUGAGCAUAUUUGAAUGAAGAUACAGGUAAAUCACCCAGUAGCUAACUGUGGUGAGCUGUACAUAUUUAUAGAGAUUUUUAAUUAUGUUUCUGCAAAGUGUUUUGAGACAGUAUAGUAGACUUUGGGGGAGAAGGUAUGGAUGGAUGGAUGGAUGGAUAGUUGGAUGCAUGCAUGCAUGGAGGGAUGGAGGGAGUGAGGGAUCGAUGGAUGGGUGGAUGAAUAAACUGAUGAAGUGGUUGGGAGGAUGGUUAAAUGGAUAAUAGAUUAAUGGAUAAAUAAGGUAGAAAAUAUUAUUUUUUCUUCUUUGUGUUUUCAAUGACAGAGACAUGAGUGAAUAACUUAAGAGAUGACUGCAAUGAGCUGUGUUAUGAAGUCAUCGGUUCAAUGUGGCAACAGAACAACAAGUCUGGCAAAGACACCACUACUGCAGAGUCAAAAGAACGGUUUGAUUAGUAUGGAUAUUGGGAAGAAACCCACUUGAAGAACAGAAAGAAAGAAACAACCAUUUACGCUACCAUAUGGUAUUAUGUAUAAAUGCCUAUGCUGCCACUAAAAGGUCGACAGCAAGAUAAAUGACAGAA
Molecule: long non-coding RNA, 2930 nt
Organism: Actinia tenebrosa (Australian red waratah sea anemone)
Lineage: Eukaryota; Metazoa; Cnidaria; Anthozoa; Actiniaria; Actiniidae
Source: RefSeq, a predicted model, not a curated record